AACACUACACUAGUGGUGCAAUACCCGAGCUUGUACCGGAUCGUCAGACAUAAAUUUGUCACGAUCAAACAAGUCUUAGGACAGGAAAACCCCGAUAUUUCUUUCCGUAGGGAUCUUUUGGGCACUUGUCUGGAAGCAUGGAAUGAAUUACUCACUCGCCUGGAGGACAUUCAACUGUCAGAUGAGUCGGACACUUUUCGAUGGAACUUGCAUCAAAAUGGCAAAUUUUCAGUCAAAUCCACGUAUAUGCAAUGGUUCAUUGUGAUAUUCCAGUAG
This 276-nucleotide ribosomal RNA is filed under the name Triticum aestivum (bread wheat). Its description in RNAcentral is "partial small subunit ribosomal RNA". The record is from RNAcentral. Lineage: Eukaryota; Viridiplantae; Streptophyta; Magnoliopsida; Poales; Poaceae.